CAUGCAAGUCGAGCGAAUCAUUGGGAGCUUGCUCCCUUUGAUUAGCGGCGGACGGGUGAGUAACACGUGGGUAACCCGCCUGUAAGAUUGGGAUAACUCCGGGAAACCGGAGCUAAUACCGGAUAACAUUUUGAACCGCAUGGUUCAAAAUUGAAAGGUGGCUUUUGCUACCACUUACAGAUGGACCCGCGGCGCAUUAGCUAGUUGGUGAGGUAAUGGCUCACCAAGGCAACGAUGCGUAGCCGACCUGAGAGGGUGAUCGGCCACACUGGGACUGAGACACGGCCCAGACUCCUACGGGAGGCAGCAGUAGGGAAUCUUCCGCAAUGGACGAAAGUCUGACGGAGCAACGCCGCGUGAACGAUGAAGGCCUUCGGGUCGUAAAGUUCUGUUGUUAGGGAAGAACAAGUACCAGAGUAACUGCUGGUACCUUGACGGUACCUAACCAGAAAGCCACGGCUAACUACGUGCCAGCAGCCGCGGUAAUACGUAGGUGGCAAGCGUUGUCCGGAAUUAUUGGGCGUAAAGCGCGCGCAGGUGGUUUCUUAAGUCUGAUGUGAAAGCCCACGGCUCAACCGUGGAGGGUCAUUGGAAACUGGGGAACUUGAGUGCAGAAGAGGAAAGUGGAAUUCCACGUGUAGCGGUGAAAUGCGUAGAGAUGUGGAGGAACACCAGUGGCGAAGCGACUUUCUGGUCUGUAACUGACACUGA
RNAcentral lists this ribosomal RNA (711 nucleotides) under uncultured bacterium. RNAcentral describes it as "bacterial SSU rRNA". It matches the Rfam family "Bacterial small subunit ribosomal RNA", at positions 54 to 749 of the family's 1533-position model. The record is from RNAcentral.